Rhineura floridana is the source of this 548-nucleotide long non-coding RNA. RefSeq lists it as uncharacterized. Lineage: Eukaryota; Metazoa; Chordata; Lepidosauria; Squamata; Rhineuridae. The transcript has 3 exons. The record is from RefSeq and is a predicted model, not a curated record.
AAUCCAUCUUGCCUAUAGGUGGAUAUCUAUGUCAGUUCCAUUUCCAUCUACUACGCAACUUGGCAUCUCUGGGGGAGAUGCUGGAACUUACAACAAGCUACCUCAAGUCCCUUGCAUGACAAGCCUUGUGGAUGAACGGAAGCGGGAAGAGAACAGACAGGAUGAAGGAUAGGGGUGACUUUACUGGUCUCUUUCACUUCUCUAGUGCCAAGUGUAGCCUUAAAUAUCUUUCUUCCACAUCAAGCUCAACAGAAGGAGGAAAGAUUUCGGCUCUCUUACUGAGCUCUCACCAAAACCCAUAGCAUCCAUGAGAUCGUCUCCGUCACCUUCAAACAUUAACACUUCCUGUUUCCGGUCAGGAAUAACAGCAUGGCCAAGAGGUGCAUAUAGAUAUGUUCCUAAUAAAUUGAAUAAAAAAAAUUUCAAGAAUGAGUUCUAAAUUUUACAAUAUUGUCUAAUGGGCUUCCUUCCCCUUUCAGAAGUGCUUAAAAGUAAGUUGAUUAUACUCACAGUGUAACCAAUAAAUAGCUGAUAAUUUUCAUUUUAAA